Molecule: long non-coding RNA, 639 nt
Organism: Gallus gallus (chicken)
Lineage: Eukaryota; Metazoa; Chordata; Aves; Galliformes; Phasianidae
Source: Ensembl
CCUCAUUUAAGGGUUGGCAGUGUAGGUGAGGGUAUCCUCUAUAGAGAUCCCUGAAUAUUUGAGGACUUCUAAAGGCAACAAUGAAACUUUUGGUUUUUGUGAGAAAUUGCAUCAAAUUAUCACUCAACCCUUUUGUUGACCAAAACUUUUGUUUGUUUUCUGUUGGGUCAGAUGCCAUUUUGCCGUGCUGCUCCUCUGCUGUCUUCUGCCACAGAGCAACAAAAUGAAACAGAAUAUUGGUGGGGAGGUUGAAACUCUACUGCCAUACCAUUAAUAUCCACCUCUGAUGUAGUGGGCUAACAUAAUGAAGUAGGAGGCAUUAUUUUUGGAGCAGCCCUCAUGCAUUUUUCUGGUAUUUUUGUUACUUGUAUGUACUGAAAGCACCAAAACAAAAGAAGCCUGUAUAACAGCUGAUGUGUAGGGUACUGGAGGCUCUUGAAUUCCAGUCAUAGUUUUGGGUGGAGCAACUUAGCCACUGAGUGAAAUUGCUUUCAGCUCUCUCUUCUGCAGUGUGUUAAAUAUCAGUAAUUUUUUUGUCUGCAAUACCUUACAUUUUGAUGACUACAAAUGUUGGUGCUCUGAGUUACGUUAAAGAUGAAAGGGUAAAUAGUUACCCUACUUAUCAUUUGCUUUUUAAGG